RNAcentral lists this small RNA (20 nucleotides) under Arabidopsis thaliana (thale cress). RNAcentral's name for it is "ATSL301680". Lineage: Eukaryota; Viridiplantae; Streptophyta; Magnoliopsida; Brassicales; Brassicaceae. The record is from RNAcentral.
UUUCUUCUUCUCCUCCUUCU